AUGAACGCUGGCGGCGUGCCUAAUACAUGCAAGUCGAGCGAACGGACGAGAAUCUUGCUUCUCUGAUGUUAGCGGCGGACGGGUGAGUAACACGUUGAUAACCUACCUAUAAGACUGGGUUAACUUCGGGAAACCGUAGCUAAUACCUGAUAAUUUUUUUAACCGCAUUGUUCAAAAGUUAAAGACGGUCUUGCUGUCACUUAUAGAUGUAUCCGCGCUGCAUUAGCUAGUUGGUAAGGUAACGGCUUACCAAGGCAACGAUGGAUAGCCGACCUGAGAGGGGGAUCGGCCACACUGGAACUGAGACACGGUCCAGACUCCUACGGGAGGCAGCAGUAGGGAAUCUUCCGCAAUGGGCGAAAGCAUGACGGAGCAACGCGGCGGGAGUGAUGAAGGACUUCGGAUCGUAAAACUCUGUUAGUAGGGAAGAACAAAUGUGUAAGUAACUGUGCACAUCAUGACGGUACCUAAUCAGAAAGCCACGGCUAACUACGUG
This 496-nucleotide ribosomal RNA is filed under the name uncultured bacterium. RNAcentral's name for it is "partial 16S ribosomal RNA". It matches the Rfam family "Bacterial small subunit ribosomal RNA", at positions 29 to 507 of the family's 1533-position model. The record is from RNAcentral.